Molecule: long non-coding RNA, 257 nt
Filed under: Elaeis guineensis (African oil palm)
Lineage: Eukaryota; Viridiplantae; Streptophyta; Magnoliopsida; Arecales; Arecaceae
Description: long non-coding RNA (EGUI_LNC047479)
Source: RNAcentral
GUUGCAUGUUGAUGAUGCCGUGGAGCAUGACACCGAAGAGGUUGCAGUAGAUAUGGUUCCAUCGAAGAUGCCUAACAAACUUGCUGAGUCGAGGAAAAAACAAAUCAAUCGAGAAAUUAAGAAAAAAAAGAUAAGAAAAAACAUAGGAAAUCAAUGCCUGACAAAUCAAAAUGGCUUUCAUUCACUAAUGAAUCGAGAUGGAAAACACGAGCGAGAGAGAGACUUGGGAGCAUAGGAGGAGGAUUGGGGAAUGGGCA